This 70-nucleotide transfer RNA is filed under the name Styela plicata. RNAcentral describes it as "transfer RNA-Met (AUA)". It matches the Rfam family "tRNA". Rfam says of the family: Transfer RNA (tRNA) molecules are approximately 80 nucleotides in length. Their secondary structure includes four short double-helical elements and three loops (D, anti-codon, and T loops). Lineage: Eukaryota; Metazoa; Chordata; Ascidiacea; Stolidobranchia; Styelidae. The record is from RNAcentral.
AGUGUUGUAGGUUAAAAUAAACCAAUGAACUUAUUCUUCAGAGAUGGGCGUUUGAUCUGCCCCGACACAA